RNAcentral lists this ribosomal RNA (587 nucleotides) under Penicillium paneum. RNAcentral describes it as "eukaryotic LSU rRNA". The stretch from base 208 to 360 matches the Rfam family "5.8S ribosomal RNA". The record is from RNAcentral. Lineage: Eukaryota; Fungi; Ascomycota; Eurotiomycetes; Eurotiales; Aspergillaceae.
CCUUCCGUAGGUGGACCUGCGGAAGGAUCAUUACCGAGUGAGGGCCCUCUGGGUCCAACCUCCCACCCGUGUUUAUUUACCUUAUUGCUUCGGCGGGCCCGCCUUCACUGGCCGCCGGGGGGCUCACGCCCCCGGGCCCGCGCCCGCCGAAGACACCCCGAACUCUGUCUGAAGAAUGAAGUCUGAGUGAAAAUAUAAAUUAUUUAAAACUUUCAACAACGGAUCUCUUGGUUCCGGCAUCGAUGAAGAACGCAGCGAAAUGCGAUACGUAAUGUGAAUUGCAAAUUCAGUGAAUCAUCGAGUCUUUGAACGCACAUUGCGCCCCCUGGUAUUCCGGGGGGCAUGCCUGUCCGAGCGUCAUUGCUGCCCUCAAGCCCGGCUUGUGUGUUGGGCCUCGUCCUCCGAUUCCGGGGGACGGGCCCGAAAGGCAGCGGCGGCACCGCGUCCGGUCCUCGAGCGUAUGGGGCUCUGUCACCCGCUCUGUAGGCCCGGCCGGCGCUUGCCGAUCAACCCAAAUUUUUAUCCAGGUUGACCUCGGAUCAGGUAGGGAUACCCGCUGAACUUAAGCAUAUCAUUAAGCGGAGGAA